RNAcentral lists this ribosomal RNA (429 nucleotides) under Actinomycetes bacterium. RNAcentral describes it as "Actinobacteria bacterium partial 16S ribosomal RNA". It matches the Rfam family "Bacterial small subunit ribosomal RNA", at positions 355 to 776 of the family's 1533-position model. The record is from RNAcentral. Lineage: Bacteria; Bacillati; Actinomycetota; Actinomycetes.
UAGGGAAUCUUCCGCAAUGGGCGAAAGCUUGACGGAGCAACGCCGCGUGAGUGAUGAAGGUCUUCGGAUCGUAAAACUCUGUUAUUAGGGAAGAACAAAUGUGUAAGUAACUAUGCACGUCUUGACGGUACCUAAUCAGAAAGCCACGGCUAACUACGUGCCAGCAGCCGCGGUAAUACGUAGGUGGCAAGCGUUAUCCGGACUUAUUGGGCGUAAAGCGCGCGUAGGCGGUUUUUUAAGUCUGAUGUGAAAGCCCACGGCUCAACCGUGGAGGGUCAUUGGAAACUGGAAAACUUGAGUGCAGAAGAGGAAAGUGGAAUUCCAUGUGUAGCGGUGAAAUGCGCAGAGAUAUGGAGGAACACAAGUGGCGAAGGCGACUUUCUGGUCUGUAACUGACGCUGAUGUGCGAAAGCGGGGGGAUCAAACAGG